Molecule: ribosomal RNA, 253 nt
Filed under: uncultured bacterium
Lineage: Bacteria
Description: partial 16S ribosomal RNA
Rfam family: Bacterial small subunit ribosomal RNA
Source: RNAcentral
UGCGUAGGGGGCAAGCGUUGUCCGGAAUCAUUGGGCGUAAAGCGCGUGUAGGCGGCUCGAUAAGUCUGCUGUGAAAGUUCAGGGCUCAACCCUGAAAUGCCGGUGGAAACUGUCGAGCUAGAGUCCGGAAGAGGCGAGUGGAAUUCCUGGUGUAGCGGUGAAAUGCGCAGAUAUCAGGAGGAACACCAAUGGCGAAGGCAGCUCGCUGGGACGGUACUGACGCUGAGACGCGAAAGCGUGGGGAGCAAACAGG